AUACGGAGGGGGCAAGCGUUGUUCGGAAUUACUGGGCGUAAAGAGUACGUAGGCGGAUCGUUAAGUUAGAGGUGAAAUCCCAGGGCUCAACCCUGGAACUGCCUUUAAUACUGGCGAUCUAGAGAUCGAGAGAGGUGAGUGGAAUUUCCAGUGUAGAGGUGAAAUUCGUAGAUAUUAGAAAGAACACCAGUGGCGAAGGCGGCUCACUGGCUCGAUACUGACGCUGAGGUACGAAAGCGUGGGGAGCAAACAGGAUUAGAUACCCUAGUAGUCC
Molecule: ribosomal RNA, 274 nt
Filed under: uncultured bacterium
Lineage: Bacteria
Description: partial 16S ribosomal RNA
Rfam family: Bacterial small subunit ribosomal RNA
Source: RNAcentral